GCAAAAUCUUCCCCCAAUUUCUUGUUUUAUUUAAAAAAAAAAAAAAUCCCCCAAAACUUGUUGUUGCAAAAAUGCCCUCUUUAGAAGACGAACUUUUCCCUUCCACCCCCGGAAAAUUCAAGAUCGACAGAAACCACCCAAUGAACCGCCAAUUCCACCGCUGUUUCGCUUCCACCAGCACCAUGUUCUUAUGGGCUCUUUUCUU
Molecule: unclassified non-coding RNA, 205 nt
Filed under: Hevea brasiliensis (rubber tree)
Lineage: Eukaryota; Viridiplantae; Streptophyta; Magnoliopsida; Malpighiales; Euphorbiaceae
Source: RNAcentral